This 874-nucleotide unclassified non-coding RNA is filed under the name Hevea brasiliensis (rubber tree). The record is from RNAcentral. Lineage: Eukaryota; Viridiplantae; Streptophyta; Magnoliopsida; Malpighiales; Euphorbiaceae.
GGAUGAAACUGCUGCUGAUGGAGCCUCAAAGAAAAAGGCGGAUUCUGAUUCUGAGGAGGAAGAAGAGGAUGCACAGCAAAAGGAGAAGGGAGUCUCGAACAAAAAGAAAAAACUUCAGCGUAGGAUGAAAAUUGCAGAACUGAAACAAAUCUCUAUGAAGCCUGAUGUUGUUGAGGUAUGGGAUGCCACUGCAGCAGACCCUAAGCUCCUGGUAUUUCUGAAAUCUUACCGGAAUACUGUUCCUGUUCCAAGACACUGGUGUCAGAAACGGAAAUUUUUGCAGGGGAAGCGUGGGAUUGAGAAACAGCCAUUUCAACUUCCUGACUUUAUAGCUGCGACAGGAAUUGAGAAAAUUAGACAAGCUUACAUUGAAAAGGAGGACAGUAAGAAGCUUAAACAAAAGCAGCGGGAAAGGAUGCAGCCAAAAAUGGGGAAGAUGGAUAUCGAUUAUCAGGUUCUACAUGACGCCUUUUUUAAGUAUCAAACUAAACCAAAGUUGACAUCCCUUGGUGAUCUGUAUUAUGAAGGAAAAGAGUUUGAGGUCAAGUUGAGGGAAAUGAAACCUGGAACUUUGUCUCAUGAACUGAAAGAGGCCCUUGGUAUGCCUGAAGGUGCUCCUCCUCCAUGGCUCAUCAAUAUGCAGAGAUAUGGUCCUCCACCCUCUUAUCCUCAGCUGAAGAUUCCUGGACUGAAUGCUCCUAUUCCACAUGGAGCCAAGUUCGGUUAUCAGCCGGGAGGUUGGGGUAAACCACCUGUUGAUGAAUAUGGGCGCCCUUUAUACGGAGAUGUCUUUGGUGUAUUGCAACAAGAUCAGCCUAAUUAUGAGGAUGAACCUGUUGAUAAGACUAAACAUUGGGGUGACUUGGAGGAAGAG